UCAAACUUUCCAAGAUUGUCAAGAUUCUUUUCCUAGUUGGGAUUUACCUUAUUUAUUUAUUUAUAUAUAGGUUAUUAAUAUUUUCCUUAGUCUAUUUAUGGUCUCCUAAGUACCAUUUAAUGCUUUCCUAGAAGUACUAAAUUUGUUCCUAGUUAGGUUACUUUAUUUCCUUUCUAGAGUAGGAUUCCUUGUAAUUGUCUUUCUAGGGUUCUUUGGACGUUUUCUUCCCUUCUCCUAUAUAUAGGAGUCCUUUUCAUUCAUUAAAGACAAUUUAGAUUGAUAUUAAUAAUAUUUGAGAGAGUUCUUUGAACCUUUGUGACUUGUUCUUUGAGAAUUUAUCUUUAAACCUUUACUAGUUUCAUAGUUUAAGGUAUAAAGUAAUUUCUUCUUGUGAUAUCUUUGGUUUCUUUUUGGUAUUCUUUAGAAGGUAAUUAGUUUCUACAUACUAAUUAUUGUCUUUAGUUACUCAUAAAGCGGUCAAGAUCCGAAUCUAUCGUUUUGAUUCGUUUUCUCAAGUAAAGGCGUUAGAUUUCUACCAUAAAUCUAUACGUUGUUACUUGGAUCUUUUCAAGGCCUUAGAACAUCUAAUUCUUGGAAAUUCGUGGAUCUUUCCUUCGAAUCUCCCAUAUCUUUAGUUAGUUUUGUUGUUUCUUUUCUUGUGCUUCCGCAUUCUAAUAUUCAAUUCUCUAUUUGUGAUCUCCUUAACCUUGCUGUUAUCACUAGGCUACUACAUGCUUGGACCUGGCUUAUGUUAGACAUGAAUUGUUUGUCAAUUACGUGAUAUCUGGGACUAUUGUCUCACUGACAUUUUCCCCGUCAUUUAUUACAGUGUUGUUAAGAGCCAAGCUUCAUCUACGAAGAAGGCUUUGGUUGACUUCUGGCAACUUGCAUUCUCAUAUCAAGUGAACCCUCUUGCUGCUGUUCAAUCACUCCCACCUGCAACACGUGGAAGCCGGUGAUGCACAAUUUUGUUCCUCAUACCAGAGCUGUUACUUGUAGAUAAAUGAAAGAUUACUGAGGAUAUUGCUAUUAUCAUCUUAAGUUGGAGAGGAAAUUGAUUUUGAUAAUUGACAAAGAUUGUUGGAAGAAGCAGGGUCCUUAAUAAUACUGUUGAUUAGAGGCAGCUAGCAUUGUUUGUAUGGAAGUAGAAGUUCCUUUACAGUAAGGUCUCAAUUUUUGAAAAAAUCAUGCAACUCCAACUCCACUUUUAUUAUCUCAUGGUGUAUGGACAAAAUGAUGGAGAAAUUUUACUCUUGUGAAUCUCAUAACCAACAUUACUUAAUACUUAUGUGAGGCAGUUUAAAACUCAAUAUUUUGUCAUUACCUUAUAAUCUUUGUCAACCGUUACAAAAUCUGAGGAUUGAGACAAUCUCUCCUUUUAUUUAUUUCUUCACUGCAAGCAGUACUCACAUAAUCUGUUUGUUUCUGUAUAUAUACCAAGAUAUCAAUGAUGAUUCACAUUUCGGAG
Molecule: long non-coding RNA, 1468 nt
Filed under: Solanum tuberosum (potato)
Lineage: Eukaryota; Viridiplantae; Streptophyta; Magnoliopsida; Solanales; Solanaceae
Description: long non-coding RNA (STUB_LNC011282)
Source: RNAcentral